GAUGAACGCUGGCGGCGUGCUUAACACAUGCAAGUCGAACGGUGAACACGGAGCUUGCUCUGUUGGAUCAGUGGCGAACGGGUGAGUAACACGUGAGCAACCUGCCCCUGACUCUGGGAUAAGCGCUGGAAACGGCGUCUAAUACUGGAUAUGUGACGUGACCGCAGGGUCUGCGUUUGGAAAGAUUUUUCUGUUGGGGAUGGGCUCGCGGCCUAUCAGCUUGUUGGUGAGGUAAUGGCUCACCAACGCGUCGACGGGUAGCCGGCCCGGGAGGGUGACCGGCCACCCUGGGCCUGAGACACGGCCCAGACUCCUACGUGAGGCAGCAGUGGGGAAUAUUGCACAAUGGGCGCAAGCCUGAUGAAGAAACGCCGCGUGAGGGAUGACGGCCUUCGGGUUGUAAACCUCUUUUAGCAGGGAAGAAGCGAAAGUGACGGUACCUGCAGAAAAAGCGCCGGCUAACUACGUG
Molecule: ribosomal RNA, 469 nt
Filed under: uncultured bacterium
Lineage: Bacteria
Description: partial 16S ribosomal RNA
Rfam family: Bacterial small subunit ribosomal RNA
Source: RNAcentral